UGCGUGCCGCGGGGGAUGCCGGGAGCGCGCAGUGGCGGCAGCGGCGGCGACGACAGUAGCAGCGGCGGCUACAGCGGGGACGCAAGCGGGGCGGUGACCGUGUGGGAGGUGGUCUCACUCUUGGGGAAGCUGCUGGGCACUGUCGCCGCGCUGAAGGUGGUUCUGUACCUGCUCCGGGUGUGCUUAGCGAUGGCCUGGAAAUCCGGCGGCGCCAGCCACUCGGAGCUAAUCCACAACCUCCGCAAAAAUGGAAUCAUCAAGACAGAUAAAGUAUUUGAAGUAAUGCUGGCCACAGACCGCUCUCACUAUGCAAAGUGUAACCCUUAUAUGGAUUCUCCACAAUCAAUAGGGUUCCAAGCAACAAUCAGUGCUCCACACAUGCAUGCAUAUGCACUAGAACUUCUAUUUGAUCAAUUGCAUGAAGGAGCUAAAGCUCUUGAUGUAGGAUCUGGAAGUGGAAUCCUUACUGCAUGUUUUGCACGUAUGGUUGGGCCUAGUGGAAAAGUCAUAGGAAUUGACCACAUUAAAGAGCUAGUAGACGACUCAGUAAAUAAUGUCAGAAAGGAUGAUCCAAUGCUUUUGUCUUCAGGGAGAGUGCAACUGGUUGUGGGGGAUGGAAGAAUGGGAUAUGCCGAAGAAGCCCCUUAUGAUGCUAUUCAUGUAGGAGCUGCAGCCCCAGUUGUGCCCCAGGCACUAAUAGACCAGUUAAAGCCUGGUGGAAGAUUGAUAUUGCCAGUUGGUCCUGCAGGUGGAAACCAGAUGCUGGAGCAGUAUGACAAGCUCCAGGAUGGCAGUGUCAAAAUGAAGCCUCUGAUGGGAGUGAUAUACGUGCCUUUAACAGAUAAAGAAAAGCAGUGGUCCAGGAUUUCCAGUACUAUGUUGAAUAAAAGUGGCGAGAGUGGGCAUCCUUGUCUUGUUCCUGAUUUUAGAGGAAAAGCUUUCAGCUUUUCACCGUUGAAUAUGAUGUUAGCUGUGAGCUUGUCAUAUGUGGCCUUUAUUAUGUUGAGUUGCUGGUACAGUGCUGCACCUGGCUGAGCGAAUGGUUUCUUUUGGAGCUGAUAAAGCUGUCUUAUGAAAUCAGCUGACAGGGACGAACUGUAAAAGCAACAUCAGCUUGACCAGUAUAUAAUAUUACAGUGGAUUGCUCAUCUCAGUCCUCAAAGCUUUUGAAAAUCAACAGCAUCACAGCUUGUGUUGGACUUUCUUACACUAUUUUCAGCAUGAAAAUGUGUGGUUUUGUGGGGUUUCUAAUUCUUCAAAGAGGCACAGAAGCCAAAUUGGUAGAAGGAUGCAAAUAUAAAUUUGUGUAUUAUUACUUUAACAUGCCCACGUUUUACUUUAAAUGUUAAAAGGAAGGGUUCUGCAAAAUGGAAAACAUAGUUUGUGAAUUGAUUUUGAGGAGUGGUUUUUCUUUUCUUAGACACUUAAUUCUGUUCAGAUGUUAAUUUAUCAGAUUGCUUUUGUGCAUCAGGUAACACCACCAUUCAUAAGUUAAGAUUCUUGGUUUUUGGGUGUAUGUUAGAUGCUACUAAGAAAAUAGAGAUGAGCUUCCUUUUUAAAGCUUUUGAUGUGGUGUCAUAGAAUAGCAUGUUGUAGAUACAAUCGGCUGCUUUGUUACCUUAAAGCUAAGCAUUUGUAAAUAUUAAAACUUAAGAAGAUGACAGGUGAUGUCCCUUAAAACACUCAGCUGUUCAGAUUGGACAUAACUGACAUAGUUCUUCCUUUCUCUCUUUAAAAAUUCUAGGAGCUCAGUAUUGUUUUUCUGUUUCUGAUUUGCUGCUCAUAAUGUAUAUGGAUUUAACAUGCUGUGUAAGCUGCGUCCUAGUCACUGAACAGUUGAUGCAGUGCUGCUUUGCCAAAUAAAGUUAAAAGUGAAAGGCA
Molecule: RNA transcript, 1881 nt
Organism: Orcinus orca (killer whale)
Lineage: Eukaryota; Metazoa; Chordata; Mammalia; Artiodactyla; Delphinidae
Gene: PCMT1
Gene name: protein-L-isoaspartate (D-aspartate) O-methyltransferase
Exons: 10
Source: RefSeq, a predicted model, not a curated record